This is a non-coding RNA of Ictidomys tridecemlineatus (thirteen-lined ground squirrel), 2132 nucleotides long. The record is from RefSeq and is a predicted model, not a curated record. NCBI's taxonomy places the organism in Eukaryota, Metazoa, Chordata, Mammalia, Rodentia, Sciuridae.
UAGGAAAAAAUGUGUUUAAAGUAAUAGAAAUCAACUGCUAUUAACAUCACUGAAACUGGCUAAGUUAAAAUUACAAACAUAUCACAUAUUUAUUAAGUUUUUUUUUGAAGAAUAGGUAUGUUGCUAAAAACACAGGCAUUAAUAGUAUACUGAAUAUUCUUAUUUGCAUACACUAAGUUGUUCAAAAGGUUAGAAAUAUCGCUGUCCUGAAUCAUUGUUUAAAAUGAUCCCAUACUUAAGAACGUAGCUAAAGUUUUAGUGAUGGGUCUAAGUUUUUAAAAAUUCACUAUUUUAAAGUUCAUCUUUUAAAGUCGUCUAUAAGAUCACUAUAUCUUAUUAAAUCAUCAUGUAAUUCAAUACUACAGAAGCCCUAUGAUUGCUGGUGAGUCAAGACUUUUGUGAGUCAAAUGAGAUGAUGUGUAUUAAAAACUGUUUUACAACAGUAGAUCCUAGACCAGCAGAAGGGAAGGGAAAUUAACAUUAUUAAGCUCCUUCUUUGAUAGCAGUGAUAUUCUGUGUUAGCAAAUAUUUUUUUCAUUUAAUCCUCUUAUUGCCCUGUAAGACAAAACAUGAUUAUCAUUUCUGUGUGUGUUGCUUGGGAUAGAACCCAGCACUUGCGAGGCAAGUUCUGUACCAUUGAGACACACCCAGCUCCUAUUAUCCCUAUUUUUACUGAUGACUAAACCAGGUCUCUUAAAAGUGAAGUAACUGACCCACAACCCACAGCCAACAAAUGACAAAGUCAGGUUUCAAACCCAUGGCUGACUAUUCCCAAAGUCUUCUCUCUGAUGUCCUCCCUUUUAGAGCUACAGAAUUAUCACUAUUUACAAGGGGAGAAGUUAUCUUUUUUUUUUAAGCACUUGAUUAACCAAACAUCACUUACAAGGCAAUAGUUUGCCCAAUUGUUCUCACUUUUUUCCUGACAUUUUAGGAUAAAAAAAAAACUUAUAUGUAAGUAUCAUUUCCAAGAACAUUUUAAAAGCGGUAAGUAGUAAAUGAGAUUGCACUCACAGGAAUUUUAAAAUGUGAUAAAGUUUCAGCAAUUUAAACAGCGUGGUGCUGGUUAAAUAAUAGAUCAAAGGAAUAAGUAGAUCAAAGUAUAUAAAUAUGAAGAAAUAAACAUUAGUAUUCCACUUCCAAUUGGAAGAGUAGAAUACUGAGGAAAGUGACUUUAUUUGGAAAAAGAGAAAAAUUGCAUUGCAUCAAAUAUAUCCAAAGGGGUUAAAGAAUAAAAUGUAAAAGAAAAUCACAAAAACGCUUUAAAAGUAUAUACACAUAAUUUUACAAUUGUGAAGGAAAUUCUAAGACUGGUAAUUAAAAUAAAAUCAUAAAGGAAGAGAAUAAUAAAUUGACUAAAUAUUUUUAAUUUCUCUUUGUUAAAAUCUACAACUAUAGGGAUGCACACCUGUAGUUCCAGCUACUCAAGAAGCUGAGGCAGGAGUAUUAUGAGGGCAGGAGUUGGAGGCCAGCCUUGGUAACAUAGACAGAUCCUAUCUCAAAAAAAAGAAAGAAAAGAAAAGAAAAUAGCCAAAGAAGUUAAACAACAUCCAUGAAAGCAUUGGGAAAAUUUUAUUUUGCUUUUUGCUGAGCUAUUUGUCUUAUCAUGCUGACAUUUCACCUGUGCUUGGAAGAAAAGCUAAAAGCAAACCAGGUGGGAAGAAAGAGAAAGAGAAACAAGUGGACCCACACUUAAGGGAGCAAGCUUAGCAAAACCAGGUCUGAAAAAAAACAACACAGGAGAGAGAGCAUCAAACAUUCAGCCAUCCAGGACGGCCAUUUCCAAGGACCAAGGACUGGAGACCCCCUCACCUCUACAAAGUACAUCUUUCAAUGAAAGUUUUAGAAACAGGGUCUUUUCAGAUGUAGUCAAGUUAAGGUGAGGUCACUAAGGUGAACCUGAUCCAGUGUAACUGGUCUUAUGAAAAGAAGAAAUGGAGACAUAAACAUAGAAAUGCACAAAAAGAAGAUUAUGUGAAGAUUGGAGUUUAUACUUUUACAAACCAAAGAAUGGAAAUUGGAAAAGGAAAGGAAAGAUCCCUUUCCUACAGGUUUCAGAGGGAGCAUGACUCAACAGCUUGAUUUUAGAAUUCUAAACUUCAAAACUGUAAUAAAACUUCUGUUGUUGUAAACCA